This is a non-coding RNA of Odobenus rosmarus divergens (Pacific walrus), 411 nucleotides long. Lineage: Eukaryota; Metazoa; Chordata; Mammalia; Carnivora; Odobenidae. The record is from the annotation of a RefSeq genome assembly.
AUGGAGAAGCAUCUGAGAACCUCCUUGGUGGUUUUGUGGCUUCAUUUUUGUUGGGUGAGUGGCAAAAACCAAGUGGAACAGAAUCUUCCAUCCCUGGUCAUCCUGGAGGGGGAGAACUGCACAAUUCAAUGCAACUACACAGUGAACCCUUUUAGCAACUUAAGGUGGUACAAGCAGGGCACUGGGAGAGGUCCUGCUUCUCUGAUAGUCAUGGCUUACGGUGACAGCAAAAAGUCAGAUGGAAGGUACACAGCGACUCUGGAUGCAACCUCCAAGCACAGCUCCCUGCACAUCACAGACGCCCAGCUCAGUGAUUCAGCCUUCUACAUCUGUGCGGUGAGCGCACUGUGUUCCCUGGGCACUUGCAGCCAGUACCUAAACCUGCACCUGCAGGUUGUCAAGGAGGCUUAG